This 98-nucleotide microRNA precursor is filed under the name Danio rerio (zebrafish). Its description in RNAcentral is "miRNA (ENSDARG00000110384.1)". Lineage: Eukaryota; Metazoa; Chordata; Actinopteri; Cypriniformes; Danionidae. The record is from RNAcentral.
CAGGUUCUCUGGCUUGAUGUCCCGGUGCAGGACGCGGCGCCUCUGGCAGUGUUUCAGCGCCGCGAUCAGCUGCACCAGCACUUUCUUGGCCAGAGGCU